UAAUACGUAGGGUGCAAGCGUUGCCCGGAUUUAUUGGGCGUAAAGGGCGCGUAGGCGGCCCGGCGCGUCCGCGGUGAAAGCUCCCGGCUCAACUGGGAGAGGUCCGCGGAAACGGUCGGGCUGGAGCAAGGUAGGGGGUCGUGGAAUUCCCGGUGUAGUGGUGGAAUGCGUAGAGAUCGGGAGGAACACCAGUGGCGAAGGCGGCGACCUGGACCUGUGCUGACGCUGAGGCGCGAAAGCGUGGGGAGCGAUCCGGAUUAGAUACCCGGGUAGUCCACGCCGUAAACGAUGCACACUAGGUGUCGGGGGUAUCGACCCCCUCGGCGCCGCAGCUAACGCAUUAAGUGUGCCGCCUGGGGACUACGGCCGCAAGGCUA
RNAcentral lists this ribosomal RNA (377 nucleotides) under uncultured bacterium. RNAcentral's name for it is "bacterial SSU rRNA". It matches the Rfam family "Bacterial small subunit ribosomal RNA", at positions 521 to 896 of the family's 1533-position model. The record is from RNAcentral.